Molecule: long non-coding RNA, 532 nt
Organism: Fundulus heteroclitus (mummichog)
Lineage: Eukaryota; Metazoa; Chordata; Actinopteri; Cyprinodontiformes; Fundulidae
Exons: 4
Source: RefSeq, a predicted model, not a curated record
UAUAAAAGAGCGCAGCAGCCGUCACAACAACAGAGGCUCACGUUGUUUCACACAACAACACUGCACUCGUAAAAGGCAGAAAGCGCCGGACCUGUGCUCAGAUAAACCAGCAGCUUAGCAGACGACACGGUUGCUCACUUCAGGAUAAACUUUCAUCCAAGAUGUUUCUGAAGACUCUUGUGCUCAUCUUUCUGGCACUUUUCUUCUGCGCAGGUGCUGAGGACAGAUAUAGACCCUGGAGGCCCAACUGUAAGGGGAUGAGCCCCACUGAUGCUUGUCCUCUGAGAUUUACUCUCCGUUGUGCGGCAGCGACGGCGUCACUUACCCCAACGAGUGCGCGCUGUGCAUCUACCGACUGACGCACAAUGUUGACAUCUGGAUUGUGAGAUAUGAGGAGUGCUGAAGAUGACUUCAUCACAACGUUUACUGAUGACGCCAUCCUGUUGCUUCCUGAUGUCAUCACCACACAUGAAUUCCUGCUGAAUGUAGCUUUUAGCAUGUAGCAUUCAAACAUGCACACUAGUGAAUGCAG